AGCUUUGCGCAGUGGCAGUAUCGUAGCCUAUGAGGUUUAUCCGAGGCGCGAUUAUUGCUAGUUGAAAACUUUACCCAAUACCCCGCCUUGACGACUUGAAAAAGUCGGCAAUGGCAAUUUUUGACGGUCUCUAAGGAGA
This 139-nucleotide small nuclear RNA is filed under the name Acanthochromis polyacanthus (spiny chromis). RNAcentral describes it as "U4 spliceosomal RNA (ENSAPOG00000006395.1)". It matches the Rfam family "U4 spliceosomal RNA". Rfam says of the family: U4 small nuclear RNA (U4 snRNA) is a component of the major U2-dependent spliceosome. Lineage: Eukaryota; Metazoa; Chordata; Actinopteri; Pomacentridae. The record is from Rfam by way of RNAcentral.